RNAcentral lists this ribosomal RNA (305 nucleotides) under uncultured bacterium. RNAcentral's name for it is "bacterial SSU rRNA". It matches the Rfam family "Bacterial small subunit ribosomal RNA", at positions 334 to 633 of the family's 1533-position model. The record is from RNAcentral.
UAUCCUAGGGGGGCAGCAGUAGGGAAUCUUCCACAAUGGGCGAAAGCCUGAUGGAGCAACGCCGCGUGGGUGAAGAAGGUCUUCAGAUCGUAAAACCCUGUUGUUAGAGAAGAAAGUGCGUGAGAGUAACUGUUCACGUUUCGACGGUAUCUAACCAGAAAGCCACGGCUAACUACGUGCCAGCAGCCGCGGUAAUACGUAGGUGGCAAGCGUUAUCCGGAUUUAUUGGGCGUAAAGGGAACCCAGGCGGUCUUUUAAGUCUGAUGUGAAAGCCUCCGGCUUAACCGGAGGAGUGCAUUGGAAAC